GACGUAGGGCGCAAGCGUUGUCCGGAUUUAUUGGGCGUAAAGAGCUCGUAGGCGGCUUGUCACGUCGGAUGUGAAAGCCCGAGGCUUAACCUCGGGUCUGCAUUCGAUACGGGCUAGCUAGAGUGUGGUAGGGGAGAUCGGAAUUCCUGGUGUAGCGGUGAAAUGCGCAGAUAUCAGGAGGAACACCGGUGGCGAAGGCGGGUCUCUGGGCCGAAAUUGACGCUGAGGAGCGAAAGCGUGGGGAGCGAACAGG
RNAcentral lists this ribosomal RNA (253 nucleotides) under uncultured bacterium. Its description in RNAcentral is "partial 16S ribosomal RNA". It matches the Rfam family "Bacterial small subunit ribosomal RNA", at positions 524 to 776 of the family's 1533-position model. The record is from RNAcentral.